RNAcentral lists this transfer RNA (74 nucleotides) under Macropostrongyloides lasiorhini. Its description in RNAcentral is "tRNA-Ser". Lineage: Eukaryota; Metazoa; Nematoda; Chromadorea; Rhabditida; Strongylidae. The record is from RNAcentral.
CAAAAGAUAUAAGUUAACUAAUGAGUUUUAUACAAGUCUUCUAAAUUUGUUAUAGGUUUUACCUGCUCAUUUUU